CGCACGGGUGAGUAACACGUAGGUUAUCUACCCCCACUCACAGACAUAACCCCGGGAAACCGGGGCUAAUAUCUGAUGAGGUCGCAAGAUCAAAGUCUUCGGACGGAUGGGGAUGAGCCUGCGGCUGAUUAGCUAGUUGGUGAGGUAACGGCUCACCAAGGCGACGAUCAGUAGCUGGUCUGAGAGGACGAACAGCCACACUGGAACUGAGACACGGUCCAG
Molecule: ribosomal RNA, 222 nt
Filed under: uncultured bacterium
Lineage: Bacteria
Description: partial 16S ribosomal RNA
Rfam family: Bacterial small subunit ribosomal RNA
Source: RNAcentral